CCCUUAGAUGUUCUGGGCCGCACGCGUACUACACUGAGUAAAUCAAUGGGUAAGGGAACACGAAAGUGCAACCUAAUCUUGAAAUUUGCUCGUGAUGGGGAUCGACGGUUGCAAUUUUCCGUCGUGAACGAGGAAUACCUUGUAGGCGCGUGUCAUCAUCACGCGCCGAAUACGUCCCUGCCCUUUGUACACACCGCCCGUCGCUCCUACCGAUUGAGUGAUCCGGUGAGGCUCUGGGACCUGGACGGAAAGAGCGUUUCGCUUGUUCUGUUUGGGAAACUUGGUCGAACCUUAUCAUUUAGAGGAAGGAGAAGUCGUAACA
Molecule: ribosomal RNA, 322 nt
Filed under: uncultured eukaryote
Lineage: Eukaryota
Description: partial 18S ribosomal RNA
Rfam family: Eukaryotic small subunit ribosomal RNA
Source: RNAcentral